UACGAAGGGAGCUAGCGUUGUUCGGAAUCACUGGGCGUAAAGCGCACGUAGGCGGAUUUGCAAGUCGGGGGUGAAAUCCCGGGGCUCAACCUCGGAACUGCCUUCGAUACUGUAAGUCUCGAGUCCGGAAGAGGUGGGUGGAAUUCCUAGUGUAGAGGUGAAAUUCGUAGAUAUUAGGAAGAACACCAGUGGCGAAGGCGGCCCACUGGUCCGGUACUGACGCUGAGGUGCGAAAGCGUGGGGAGCAAACAGG
This 253-nucleotide ribosomal RNA is filed under the name uncultured bacterium. RNAcentral's name for it is "partial 16S ribosomal RNA". It matches the Rfam family "Bacterial small subunit ribosomal RNA", at positions 524 to 776 of the family's 1533-position model. The record is from RNAcentral.